GGUUAUACUGUCUCCUUUUUCUAAUCAGUGAAACUAAUCUUCCCGUGAAGAAGCGGGAAUACCCCUAUAAGACGAGAAGACCCCAUGGAGCUUCAAACCCAACUACACCCCUAACUUCUAUAACCCCCACCCCACGGGACCCUGUAUAGUUGGUUUUAGGUUGGGGCAACCACGGAGCACAACAAAGCCUCCACAAUGAAUGGGACCACCCCCCUUAUCUAAGAGCCACACCCCUAGGAAUUAAAACAUUAAUAUAAAAUGAUCCAUUAUUUGAUCAAUGAACCAAGUUACCCUGGGGAUAACAGCGCAAUCCAUUUCAAGAGCCCCUAUCGACAAAUGGG
Molecule: ribosomal RNA, 341 nt
Filed under: Mantidactylus paidroa
Lineage: Eukaryota; Metazoa; Chordata; Amphibia; Anura; Mantellidae
Description: partial 16S ribosomal RNA
Rfam family: Bacterial large subunit ribosomal RNA
Source: RNAcentral